Molecule: ribosomal RNA, 505 nt
Filed under: uncultured bacterium
Lineage: Bacteria
Description: partial 16S ribosomal RNA
Rfam family: Bacterial small subunit ribosomal RNA
Source: RNAcentral
GACGAACGCUGGCGGCGUGCCUAAUACAUGCAAGUAGAACGCACAGUUUAUACCGUAGCUUGCUACACCAUAGACUGUGAGUUGCGAACGGGUGAGUAACGCGUAGGUAACCUGCCUGGUAGCGGGUGAUAACUAUUGGAAACGAUAGCUAAUACCGCAUAAUAUUAAUUAUUGCAUGAUAAUUAAUUGAAAGGUGCAAUUGCACCACUACCAGAUGGACCUGCGUUGUAUUAGCUAGUAGGUGAGGUAACGGCUCACCUAGGCGACGAUACAUAGCCGACCUGAGAGGGUGAUCGGCCACACUGGGACUGAGACACGGCCCAGAAUCCUAAGGGAGGCAGCAGUAGGGAAUCUUCGGCAAUGGACGAAAGGCUGACCGAGCAACGCCGCGGGAGUGAAGAAGGGUUUCGGAUCGGAAAGCUCUGUUGUAAGAGAAGAACGGGUGUGAGAGUGGAAAGUUCACACUGUGACGGUAUCUUACCAGAAAGGGACGGCUAACUACGUG